GGCACCUCAGUUCGGCGCCCAGUCAGGUUAAGGUUUGGGAGGGCGGCAACGCAGACCCAUCUCCCCAAAAUCCAUCCCGCGGGAGACACGAGCGUGCGAGGGAGAGAGGCCGCUGCUCGUCCUGGUCCCGGUGGGAUGAAGAUUGACGAUCCCCUCGACUUCGAGGGGGAUAACGACCCCCUCCUCACCGUCCGCCGCCCCGCCAAGAGGAAGAAGGUUAUUGGGCUGGAUGAUCUCGUAGAAGAUUACUUUAAUUCCGGUAAGGAUGAGCUCAAAGCUUCUGCUGCUAAGUCUAAGGGUCGCCCCAAAGGAGACAAUUCAGACGAUGAAGAUAGGCAGGUCAGGAAGAAGGAGAUUGACUUCUGCAAAUUUGUGGAGGAGUGUGAGGAAAAGAAAUCACCCUCGGUUCUUAAUAGCACGGGAGUUGAAAAUUGCCAACUUUUGCAAUCAUUCUGUGGGGAUGAGCAGUUAGGUUUUGAUCUAGAGAUUGAACGAGGAGAGGGCUUUUUCGAAGGCAUGCUGAUCAAUGGAUGGCUUUUGAAGUUGGUACUCCUAUAUGGUUCUGUUGAAGACUCUAUAGCAUCAUGGGUGCUGACCAAGUACACUUCAGAUGGUGGUCCACCUCAAAACAUCACUGCAUGGUUAAGAGUUGUAUCUGCUUGCUGCAAAAUUAGAAAAAUGCAUGCCGUCUUCUCACCUUCGGAAGCGGAAGAUGUCCUUGUUAUUGUUAUUUCACUCUUUUUGGACCGUCGACUUGAAGGGCUGCUGCUUAUUUUGGGAGAUUGCCUAAAUUCACUCAUCUCAUACUUCAAUACGAGUGAAUGGGAAAGUAGCUGUCUGAUUGUUGCUGAGUCAAUUUCUAAGAGGGUCAAGAUGGAUCUUAAUUGUUUAAGGCUUGUUGACUGCAUUACCGGAACCAACGACCGUAGCAAAUUCCUAAGGAGCCAGCUGGCCCUUCAGUUGCUCAAAAAUAGCUUCGGCCUUAAAGUAGCGAAUGUUGAAAGGAUCCUGAAGUCGGUCACAUCGAUAAAUGUGAAGGAGAAAGAAUGCAAUUUCUUCAUGCUGUACGUGCACAUAGUUUUGAUGGACAACCUGCUCUUCUCGAGCGACGCGUUCAGAAACAAGACAGCGAUAAUCGACGCUUGGCGCAUUUUUUUACGGAACUGCUCGACCCAUAUAGGAUGCACGGACUGGAGGUUCUACGCUUCGAAGGUCCGAAACAAGGCGUCGUAUCUCCUGCAAGGUGCAAUGCUGAAAAGGCCUGCUGGCAGUGGUAACAUUCCUGCCAAGUGAUUUGAACCAACCUACUGAAAUGCCUGCUGCUGGAGAGCACGGAACCUACGCCCUGAUUUACUAGCACAAGUAGUAUGUUUAGGGUGAAUUUUAGGCUCAUUUUUGGGUACCUGAUGGUGGCUGACAGUAUUCUCAGCCCAUGUAUAGCGUAGUCCCCAGCAGUCUCAAGUCUCAACGCCGAGAAUGCCAUUUGAUGAACUUUUGGAGCAUGGACUUCUCUUAAAUAUAUUUGCUAGUCAUAUUUGUACCUUC
This 1545-nucleotide ribosomal RNA is filed under the name Triticum aestivum (bread wheat). Its description in RNAcentral is "partial small subunit ribosomal RNA". Lineage: Eukaryota; Viridiplantae; Streptophyta; Magnoliopsida; Poales; Poaceae. The record is from RNAcentral.